Molecule: ribosomal RNA, 253 nt
Filed under: uncultured bacterium
Lineage: Bacteria
Description: partial 16S ribosomal RNA
Rfam family: Bacterial small subunit ribosomal RNA
Source: RNAcentral
UACGUAGGGUGCAAGCGUUAAUCGGAAUUACUGGGCGUAAAGCGUGCGCAGGCGGUUUUGUAAGACAGAGGUGAAAUCCCCGGGCUCAACCUGGGAACUGCCUUUGUGACUGCAAGGCUUGAGUGCGGCAGAGGGGGAUGGAAUUCCGCGUAUAGCAGUGAAAUGCGUAGAUAUGCGGAGGAACACCGAUGGCGAAGGCAAUCCCCUGGGCCUGCACUGACGCUCAUGCACGAAAGCGUGGGGAGCAAACAGG